AUCAGUAGCUGGUCUGAGAGGAUGAUCAGCCACACUGGGACUGAGACACGGCCCAGACUCCUACGGGAGGCAGCAGUGGGGAAUAUUGGACAAUGGGCGCAAGCCUGAUCCAGCCAUGCCGCGUGAGUGAUGAAGGCCUUAGGGUUGUAAAGCUCUUUUAUCCGGGACGAUAAUGACGGUACCGGAGGAAUAAGCCCCGGCUAACUUCGUGCCAGCAGCCGCGGUAAUACGAAGGGGGCUAGCGUUGCUCGGAAUCACUGGGCGUAAAGGGCGCGUAGGCGGCGUUUUAAGUCGGGGGUGAAAGCCUGUGGCUCAACCACAGAAUGGCCUUCGAUACUGGGACGCUUGAGUAUGGUAGAGGUUGGUGGAACUGCGAGUGUAGAGGUGAAAUUCGUAGAUAUUCGCAAGAACACCGGUGGCGAAGGCGGCCAACUGGACCAUUACUGACGCUGAGGCGCGAAAGCGUGGGGAGCAAA
Molecule: ribosomal RNA, 476 nt
Filed under: Methylobacterium sp.
Lineage: Bacteria; Pseudomonadati; Pseudomonadota; Alphaproteobacteria; Hyphomicrobiales; Methylobacteriaceae
Description: bacterial SSU rRNA
Rfam family: Bacterial small subunit ribosomal RNA
Source: RNAcentral